AUUUAAAUAGCUUAAGUUAAGAGUAUAAUAUUGAAGAUAUUAGGG
This 45-nucleotide transfer RNA is filed under the name Junonia villida. RNAcentral's name for it is "partial tRNA-Phe". The record is from RNAcentral. Lineage: Eukaryota; Metazoa; Arthropoda; Insecta; Lepidoptera; Nymphalidae.